CUGAUGUUAGCGGCGGACGGGUGAGUAACACGUGGGUAACCUGCCUGUAAGACUGGGAUAACUCCGGGAAACCGGGGCUAAUACCGGAUGGUUGUUUGAACCGCAUGGUUCAAACAUAAAAGGUGGCUUCGGCUACCACUUACAGAUGGACCCGCGGCGCAUUAGCUAGUUGGUGAGGUAACGGCUCACCAAGGCAACGAUGCGUAGCCGACCUGAGAGGGUGAUCGGCCACACUGGGACUGAGACACGGCCCAGACUCCUACGGGAGGCAGCAGUAGGGAAUCUUCCGCAAUGGACGAAAGUCUGACGGAGCAACGCCGCGUGAGUGAUGAAGGUUUUCGGAUCGUAAAGCUCUGUUGUUAGGGAAGAACAAGUACCGUUCGAAUAGGGCGGUACCUUGACGGUACCUAACCAGAAAGCCACGGCUAACUACGUGCCAGCAGCCGCGGUAAUACGUAGGUGGCAAGCGUUGUCCGGAAUUAUUGGGCGUAAAGGGCUCGCAGGCGGUUUCUUAAGUCUGAUGUGAAAGCCCCCGGCUCAACCGGGGAGGGUCAUUGGAAACUGGGGAACUUGAGUGCAGAAGAGGAGAGUGGAAUUCCACGU
Molecule: ribosomal RNA, 603 nt
Filed under: Bacillus subtilis
Lineage: Bacteria; Bacillati; Bacillota; Bacilli; Caryophanales; Bacillaceae
Description: bacterial SSU rRNA
Rfam family: Bacterial small subunit ribosomal RNA
Source: RNAcentral